RNAcentral lists this ribosomal RNA (468 nucleotides) under uncultured bacterium. Its description in RNAcentral is "partial 16S ribosomal RNA". It matches the Rfam family "Bacterial small subunit ribosomal RNA", at positions 28 to 507 of the family's 1533-position model. The record is from RNAcentral.
GACGAACGCUGGCGGCGUGCUUAACACAUGCAAGUCGAACGGAAAGGCCCUGCUUUUGUGGGGUGCUCGAGUGGCGAACGGGUGAGUAACACGUGAGUAACCUGCCCUUGACUUUGGGAUAACUUCAGGAAACUGGGGCUAAUACCGGAUAGGAGCUCCUGCUGCAUGGUGGGGGUUGGAAAGUUUCGGCGGUUGGGGAUGGACUCGCGGCUUAUCAGCUUGUUGGUGGGGUAGUGGCUUACCAAGGCUUUGACGGGUAGCCGGCCUGAGGGGGUGACCGGCCACAUUGGGACUGAGAUACGGCCCAGACUCCUACGGGAGGCAGCAGUGGGGAAUAUUGCACAAUGGGCGGAAGCCUGAUGCAGCAACGCCGCGUGCGGGAUGACGGCCUUCGGGUUGUAAACCGCUUUCGCCUGCGACGAAGCGUGAGUGACGGUAAUGGGUAAAGAAGCACCGGCUAACUACGUG